RNAcentral lists this ribosomal RNA (690 nucleotides) under uncultured cyanobacterium. Its description in RNAcentral is "bacterial SSU rRNA". It matches the Rfam family "Bacterial small subunit ribosomal RNA", at positions 72 to 804 of the family's 1533-position model. Lineage: Bacteria; Bacillati; Cyanobacteriota. The record is from RNAcentral.
ACCCUUCGGGGUUGAGUGGCGGACGGGUGAGUAACGCGUGAGAAUCUGCCUUCAGGUCGGGGACAACCACUGGAAACGGUGGCUAAUACCCGAUGUGCGCAACGUGAAAGAUUUAUCGCCUGAAGAGGAGCUCGCGUCUGAUUAGCUAGUUGGUGGGGUAAAAGCUCACCAAGGCGACGAUCAGUAGCUGGUCUGAGAGGAUGAUCAGCCACACUGGGACUGAGACACGGCCCAGACUCCUACGGGAGGCAGCAGUGGGGAAUUUUCCGCAAUGGGCGAAAGCCUGACGGAGCAAGACCGCGUGAGGGAGGAAGGCUCUUGGGUUGUAAACCUCUUUUCUCAGGGAAGAACACAAUGACGGUACCUGAGGAAUCAGCCUCGGCUAACUCCGUGCCAGCAGCCGCGGUAAUACGGAGGAGGCAAGCGUUAUCCGGAAUUAUUGGGCGUAAAGCGUCCGCAGGUGGCACUUCAAGUCUGUCGUCAAAGACUGGGGCUUAACCCUGGAAAGGCGGUGGAAACUGAAGCGCUAGAGUGUGGUAGGGGUAGAGGGAAUUCCCGGUGUAGCGGUGAAAUGCGUAGAGAUCGGGAAGAACAUCGGUGGCGAAGGCGCUCUACUGGACCACAACUGACACUCAGGGACGAAAGCUAGGGGAGCGAAUGGGAUUAGAUACCCCAGUAGUCCUAGCCGUA